AGGAUGGGAUCAUGAGUUCACAUGUCCGCAUGAUUAAAGGUAUUUUCCGGUAGACGAUGGGGAUGCGUUCCAUUAGAUAGUAGGCGGGGUAACGGCCCACCUAGUCAACGAUGGAUAGGGGUUCUGAGAGGAAGGUCCCCCACAUUGGAACUGAGACACGGUCCAAACUCCUACGGGAGGCAGCAGUGAGGAAUAUUGGUCAAUGGGCGAUGGCCUGAACCAGCCAAGUAGCGUGAAGGAUGACUGCCCUAUGGGUUGUAAACUUCUUUUAUAAAGGAAUAAAGUCGGGUAUGCAUACCCGUUUGCAUGUACUUUAUGAAUAAGGAUCGGCUAACUCCGUGCCAGCAGCCGCGGUAAUACGGAGGAUCCGAGCGUUAUCCGGAUUUAUUGGGUUUAAAGGGAGCGUAGAUGGAUGUUUAAGUCAGUUGUGAAAGUUUGCGGCUCAACCGUAAAAUUGCAGUUGA
RNAcentral lists this ribosomal RNA (464 nucleotides) under uncultured Bacteroidales bacterium. Its description in RNAcentral is "bacterial SSU rRNA". It matches the Rfam family "Bacterial small subunit ribosomal RNA", at positions 170 to 630 of the family's 1533-position model. The record is from RNAcentral. Lineage: Bacteria; Pseudomonadati; Bacteroidota; Bacteroidia; Bacteroidales.